RNAcentral lists this ribosomal RNA (733 nucleotides) under uncultured Aeromonas sp. RNAcentral describes it as "bacterial SSU rRNA". It matches the Rfam family "Bacterial small subunit ribosomal RNA", at positions 770 to 1502 of the family's 1533-position model. Lineage: Bacteria; Pseudomonadati; Pseudomonadota; Gammaproteobacteria; Aeromonadales; Aeromonadaceae. The record is from RNAcentral.
UAACAGGAUUAGAUACCCUGGUAGUCCACGCCGUAAACGAUGAUAACUAGCUGUCGGGGCUCUUAGAGCUUCGGUGGCGCAGCUAACGCAUUAAGUUAUCCGCCUGGGGAGUACGGCCGCAAGGUUAAAACUCAAAUGAAUUGACGGGGGCCUGCACAAGCGGUGGAGCAUGUGGUUUAAUUCGAUGCAACGCGAAGAACCUUACCUACUCUUGACAUCCAGAGAAUUCGCUAGAGAUAGCUUAGUGCCUUCGGGAACUCUGAGACAGGUGCUGCAUGGCUGUCGUCAGCUCGUGUUGUGAAAUGUUGGGUUAAGUCCCGCAACGAGCGCAACCCCUAUCCUUAUUUGCCAGCACGUAAUGGUGGGAACUCUAGGGAGACUGCCGGUGAUAAACCGGAGGAAGGUGGGGGCGACGUCAAGUCAUCAUGGCCCUUACGAGUAGGGCUACACACGUGCUACAAUGGCGAGUACAGAGGGUUGCAAAGCCGCGAGGUGGAGCUAAUCUCACAAAGCUCGUCGUAGUCCGGAUUGGAGUCUGCAACUCGACUCCAUGAAGUCGGAAUCGCUAGUAAUCGUGGAUCAGAAUGCCACGGUGGAUACGUUCCCGGGCCUUGUACACACCGCCCGUCACACCAUGGGAGUGGGCUGCAAAAGAAGUGGGUAGCUUAACCUUCGGGGGGGCGCUCACCACUUUGUGGUUCAUGACUGGGGUGAAGUCGUAACAAGGUAACCA